Long non-coding RNA from Engraulis encrasicolus (European anchovy), 348 nucleotides. RefSeq lists it as uncharacterized. NCBI's taxonomy places the organism in Eukaryota, Metazoa, Chordata, Actinopteri, Clupeiformes, Engraulidae. The record is from RefSeq and is a predicted model, not a curated record. The transcript has 3 exons.
CAGGUAUCCGAAAGCCAAACACGAGUGGAGGGUGCCAUCUUCUAGCUAGCAUUACAACGAAGAUAAACCUGGUGGUGGCUACUGGCAGACGACUGUGAACCAAAUCUCCACCAUUAUUUGUUGGAGACACUUACUCAGGUGACCAGAAAAUACCCUGACCUUGCUCACAGCGCCUUGGUCCAGUGACACCUGUCAAGAAAGUAGCAGACAAACUGGGCCCAUAUCCUGGAGUAGAUUAUGGAGCAGCAGCACCCAGACCCAAAACAAAGAACUGCAGGAGAUGACACUGGAGGACCAGGUCUGGUCUGCUAGAGUAGUGGAACAGGCAUGGUGUCCCAUCUCCAGCAG